UACGGAGGAUGCGAGCGUUAUUCGGAUUUAUUGGGUUUAAAGGGUGCGUAGGCGGGCUGUUAAGUCAGCGGUCAAAUGUCGGGGCUCAACCCCGGCCUGCCGUUGAAACUGACGGUCUUGAGUGGGCGAGAAGUAUGCGGAAUGCGUGGUGUAGCGGUGAAAUGCAUAGAUAUCGCGCAGAACUCCGAUUGCGAAGGCAUCUCACGAAUCCGCGAUUGACGCUGAUGCACGAAAGCGUGGGUAUCAAACAGG
This 252-nucleotide ribosomal RNA is filed under the name uncultured Bacteroidales bacterium. RNAcentral describes it as "partial 16S ribosomal RNA". It matches the Rfam family "Bacterial small subunit ribosomal RNA", at positions 524 to 776 of the family's 1533-position model. Lineage: Bacteria; Pseudomonadati; Bacteroidota; Bacteroidia; Bacteroidales. The record is from RNAcentral.